CCUUAAUAAAUGGGAAAAUUAACAAGACUUUCCUCUUCAUCUUCAGACUGUUCACAAGCAGCAACAGGACUAGUUAAUUCAACUCCAAACUGUUUAGAAAGCUUUUUUAACUUUUCUUCUAAGAGAAUAUUUUUUUUCACUUCUUCCUUGUAAUUAUACUUCAGAUCUUCAAUUUCUUCAAAGAACGAAGGAUCAAAAUUUUCCAGUUCUUUUUUCAGCUUUUUUAUUUCCUCCUAAUAAAAACAUAUUAUCUUUAAAAGGUAUGGAUAGGAAUAUAAUACAUUCUUUAGGUUUGAACUAAAGAGAUUUAAUUGCAAACAUGAAGGCCAAAGUAACCUAAAUAGUCAAAUGUACUUAUAAAGGCACAUC
Molecule: non-coding RNA, 369 nt
Organism: Ceratotherium simum simum (southern white rhinoceros)
Lineage: Eukaryota; Metazoa; Chordata; Mammalia; Perissodactyla; Rhinocerotidae
Source: RefSeq, a predicted model, not a curated record